This 69-nucleotide transfer RNA is filed under the name Ictidomys tridecemlineatus (thirteen-lined ground squirrel). RNAcentral's name for it is "Spermophilus tridecemlineatus (thirteen-lined ground squirrel) tRNA". It matches the Rfam family "tRNA". From Rfam's summary of the family: Transfer RNA (tRNA) molecules are approximately 80 nucleotides in length. The record is from Rfam by way of RNAcentral. Lineage: Eukaryota; Metazoa; Chordata; Mammalia; Rodentia; Sciuridae.
GGGGUUGUGGCUCAGCGGUAGAGCGCUCGCCUGGCAUGUGCGAGGCCCUGGGUUCCAUCCUCAGCACCA